CCUACGGGAGGCAGCAGUGAGGAAUAUUGGUCAAUGGACGCAAGUCUGAACCAGCCAUGCCGCGUGCAGGAAGACGGCUCUAUGAGUUGUAAACUGCUUUUGUACGAGGGUAAACGCAGAUACGCGUAUCUGUCUGAAAGUAUCGUACGAAUAAGGAUCGGCUAACUCCGUGCCAGCAGCCGCGGUAAUACGGAGGAUUCAAGCGUUAUCCGGAUUUAUUGGGUUUAAAGGGUGCGUAGGCGGAUUUUUAAGUCAGCGGUAAAAUGUCCGGGCUCAACCCGGGCCGGCCGUUGAAACUGGGGAUCUUGAGUGGGCGAGAAGUAUGCGGAAUGCGUGGUGUAGCGGUGAAAUGCAUAGAUAUCACGCAGAACUCCGAUUGCGAAGGCAGCAUACCGGCGCCCGACUGACGCUGAGGCACGAAAGCGUGGGGAUCGAACAGGAUUAGAUACCCUAGUAGUC
This 459-nucleotide ribosomal RNA is filed under the name uncultured bacterium. RNAcentral describes it as "partial 16S ribosomal RNA". It matches the Rfam family "Bacterial small subunit ribosomal RNA", at positions 338 to 795 of the family's 1533-position model. The record is from RNAcentral.